AUAUCACUUGCUGGUUUAACUUCAUGAUAAGCACUUCUCUCUGUUUGACCUGAUGAUACUUUUGAAACACUACACUCAUCUUGGAUCACUGGAUAAUCAUGGUAUGAGUACCUUGGGAUCCUGAGAAUGCUAAAAGCAAAAUCAAGCUCACUUUGUUGGAAAGUGGAAAAGGAUAAGAAUAAGCAAUUACACUAUUCUACUUCUCAGAAAUUAGGAACUCAGCUUCACAAUUUUAUAUCAUAAUCACCCAAUUGCCCAACAUUGAACAUGAUAGGAUGAAAAACAGAUAUUUCAGCAAGAAUUGGCAUAUGGCUAUCUGAUUAUAUACGUCUCCUAACAAUUAUUUAGAAGAAUAAUACAUGUAUGUCUCAUGCAGGUCAUAGACCUGUGCUCCUUUAGUGAAAUUAGAUUUAAUCCCCUAUGUAUCCUUAUGUGGUAAUGAGGAAUUAAGCGUAUAUAGUUCUGGAUCCAGCUCUCUGAUAAAAGCCCUCAGUCAAGUCGUCAGCUGUCGCGAAAACGAAAAUCGGGGUAAGACAAUUAGCCAUUGAACAAAAGCUUCUCAGAACAAUAUAUGGAAUUGCAUCAUCUAGAAAAAGCACCUUAAUAGGUUACUAGAUUCCAACAAAAUUUAAACUUGCAAGACAUAAAGGUUCUACCAAUAAUAGAGAAGAAAAAUAGGAAAACAAAUAUUGCAUAAAAUGACCAUGUGUAAAUUCUAUUGCCCCAACACCCUCAUAAAUCUUAAACACAAACAAUACCAUGUGUUCAGUACCUUCAUCACAAUCAUCAAACAAACCUCAUGCUUGAGCCUUGAAGGGGUUACUUGCCCACUAACUGGACAUAAACUGAUAAUAGGUAAUGUCCAAGAGCUGUUACAAAUUAUAUUUCUCACCUAAUAUCAUGAUCAAGUUUACAUUAAUUUACUUAGUUAGAAUGUUUGAGUGCAAAAAGACUGCUACAAAGGUGGAUAAGCCUAAAGUUUUCCACUUGGUUUGGCAUAGAACUUGAGAACGCAAAGGAAAGGACAUUUUUUCCCAAUGUUAAUG
RNAcentral lists this long non-coding RNA (1046 nucleotides) under Lupinus angustifolius (narrow-leaved blue lupine). Its description in RNAcentral is "long non-coding RNA (LANG_LNC003746)". Lineage: Eukaryota; Viridiplantae; Streptophyta; Magnoliopsida; Fabales; Fabaceae. The record is from RNAcentral.